Non-coding RNA from Carica papaya (papaya), 1055 nucleotides. The record is from RefSeq and is a predicted model, not a curated record. NCBI's taxonomy places the organism in Eukaryota, Viridiplantae, Streptophyta, Magnoliopsida, Brassicales, Caricaceae.
UUGACUAAGCGUGCACCCAUGCCGCCCCUCCCCUCCUCCUCUCUCUCUUUUCUCUGCAACGCCAACGCCCCCGGUUCGUCCCAUCAGCCUUCGCCUCUCCCCGUCUGCUGCUCCGGUUAGACAGGCGGCUCGGGGCUGCCCGUUUCUGAUGCAGUAUUGCUGCCAUUAAGUCGAGUCUUCGCGGAUUCCCGGUCACCGCCUCGCCUUCUGUCAGUCUCGGCCGAGAAGAAGACACAAGUAUUAACCUCCUAGCUUUCCAGACGCUCACGACUGCUCUCGAACAUUCACUCUAGUCCAAGAAUUGUUUUAAACUGAAUUGCGCACUUGCUCCCCCCGGAUAAUACGCCACAGCUUUACAUGGAGGAGGCGCAGGUGAAGACAAAGAAACCUGGGACUCGCCUCUGUUGCAUCUGUAAUCAGAAAAGGGCUGCCCUCAAAAGACCUAAAACCCUUGAACAGAUAUGCAGGGAGUGUUUUUAUGAGGUCUUUGAGGAAGAGAUCCACCAGGUGAUUGUGGAAAACCAACUGUUCAAGCCUGGUGAGCGAAUUGCAAUUGGGGCCUCCGGUGGUAAAGGUGAAUCAUUAGAUAAUUUGUUAGUGUUUAUAGCUGUCAAUAGUCUCAAUUGUGAACACAUGUAAAAUGACGUUAUAUUUGGAUUGUGAAUGCUAUUACACUGUUCUUGGAACAAACGAAUUCUACCAGAGAAAAAAGAAUUCAAUUGCAAAUCCAUAUUUUAUUAUUUGAAUUAUUCCAAAUGUGGAAUUUAUUUUGAAAUGAGUCCCAUAUGAAAUAUGUUUUAUUUUUAAUCCUAUCAACAUUUAUACAAUUUCAAAUUGUAAAUAAACUUGAGAGUUUAGAAGAAAAUGUUUCUUAAAAUGUCUUUUGCUACACUUGUUUGUGUUUCCUCCAGUGUAAUGAUUGAAUUUUUUUCAGAUGAAGUGUAGUCAUUGAGUUGAAUUCCGUAAAGUAUUUUGAAAUUUCAUGAUUUAUUUCGAACAAAAAACCAUUUAUAAACAAAUAUUCUGUUUAAUUCAUUUAUGAAAGAAAAUGAAAU